This 589-nucleotide ribosomal RNA is filed under the name Microbacterium murale. Its description in RNAcentral is "bacterial SSU rRNA". It matches the Rfam family "Bacterial small subunit ribosomal RNA", at positions 240 to 839 of the family's 1533-position model. Lineage: Bacteria; Bacillati; Actinomycetota; Actinomycetes; Micrococcales; Microbacteriaceae. The record is from RNAcentral.
UUAAGCUUGUUGGUGAGGUAAUGGCUCACCAAGGCGUCGACGGGUAGCCGGCCUGAGAGGGUGACCGGCCACACUGGGACUGAGACACGGCCCAGACUCCUACGGGAGGCAGCAGUGGGGAAUAUUGCACAAUGGGCGCAAGCCUGAUGCAGCAACGCCGCGUGAGGGAUGACGGCCUUCGGGUUGUAAACCUCUUUUAGCAGGGAAGAAGCGAAAGUGACGGUACCUGCAGAAAAAGCACCGGCUAACUACGUGCCAGCAGCCGCGGUAAUACGUAGGGUGCAAGCGUUAUCCGGAAUUAUUGGGCGUAAAGAGCUCGUAGGCGGUUUGUCGCGUCUGCUGUGAAAUCUGGGGGCUCAACCCCCAGCCUGCAGUGGGUACGGGCAGACUAGAGUGCGGUAGGGGAGAUUGGAAUUCCUGGUGUAGCGGUGGAAUGCGCAGAUAUCAGGAGGAACACCGAUGGCGAAGGCAGAUCUCUGGGCCGUAACUGACGCUGAGGAGCGAAAGGGUGGGGAGCAAACAGGCUUAGAUACCCUGGUAGUCCACCCCGUAAACGUUGGGAACCAGUUGUGGGGUCCAUUCCACGGAU